This 514-nucleotide ribosomal RNA is filed under the name uncultured Planctomycetota bacterium. RNAcentral describes it as "bacterial SSU rRNA". It matches the Rfam family "Bacterial small subunit ribosomal RNA", at positions 385 to 896 of the family's 1533-position model. Lineage: Bacteria; Pseudomonadati; Planctomycetota. The record is from RNAcentral.
GAACGAGCGACGCCGCGUGCGGGAUGAAGGCCCUUGGGUUGUAAACCGCUGUCGAGGGGGAUGAAGGCAUUCAGGUACUCCUGAAUGUUUGACAGAGCCCUGGAGGAAGCACGGGCUAAGUUCGUGCCAGCAGCCGCGGUAAUACGAACUGUGCGAACGUUAUUCGGAAUCACUGGGCUUACAGGGUGCGUAGGCGGCUUCGCCAGUCAGGUGUGAAAGCCCCCGGCUCAACCGGGGAACUGCGCUUGAAACUGCGAGGCUCGAGUCAGCUAGAGGUGCACGGAACUUCCAGUGGAGCGGUGAAAUGUGUUGAUAUUGGAAGGAACACCGGAGGCGAAAGCGGUGCACUGGGGCUGGUCUGACGCUGAGGCACGAAAGCCAGGGGAGCGAACGGGAUUAGAUACCCCGGUAGUCCUGGCCGUAAACGAUGAGUGCUGGACGGGAGGGGGUUCGCCCUUUCCGGUCGGAGCGAAAGCGGGAAGCACUCCGCCUGGGGAGUAUGGUCGCAAGGCUG